Small nuclear RNA from Nycticebus coucang (slow loris), 164 nucleotides. RefSeq annotates it as U1 spliceosomal RNA. The transcript has a single exon. The record is from RefSeq and is a predicted model, not a curated record. Lineage: Eukaryota; Metazoa; Chordata; Mammalia; Primates; Lorisidae.
AUUUCAACCUGGCAGGGGAGGUACCAUGAUCAUGAAGGUGGUUUUCCCAAGGUGAGGCUUAUCCAUUGUACUCUGGAUGUGCUGACCUCUGCAAUUUCCCCAAAUGUGGGAAACUCUACUGUGUAAUUUGUGGUAGUGUGGGACUGAGUUCAUACUGUCCCCUU